AAAUCAUAGCUAAAUACAAUCAAACACAUUCAUACCUUCAAAUUUCUUAGUUCAAGCUUCAAGAUUGCUCAUCCUGAAGAACGUUGCAUAAGACUCCGGCGACAAAGAUUAAUUUAAAGAUUUCAUGGAAACUCAACGUAUGAUUAUGGAAGACCCUAAUCAACAUACUCCAACAACACAUAUACUAGAAGGUUAAUUAAGCUUGUAAGAAGGGAUUUCCAAGAUAUGAAAAGAUGUUGCUAGAAGAGAGGAAGAAGUGAAAUAUGUAUAAAGUUUUA
Molecule: long non-coding RNA, 278 nt
Organism: Beta vulgaris subsp. vulgaris (sugar beet)
Lineage: Eukaryota; Viridiplantae; Streptophyta; Magnoliopsida; Caryophyllales; Amaranthaceae
Exons: 3
Source: RefSeq, a predicted model, not a curated record